Molecule: ribosomal RNA, 429 nt
Filed under: Bacteroidota bacterium
Lineage: Bacteria; Pseudomonadati; Bacteroidota
Description: Bacteroidetes bacterium partial 16S ribosomal RNA
Rfam family: Bacterial small subunit ribosomal RNA
Source: RNAcentral
UAGGGAAUCUUCGGCAAUGGGGGGAACCCUGACCGAGCAACGCCGCGUGAGUGAAGAAGGUUUUCGGAUCGUAAAGCUCUGUUGUUAAGGAAGAACGAGUGUGAGAAUGGAAAGUUCAUGCUGUGACGGUACUUAACCAGAAAGGGACGGCUAACUACGUGCCAGCAGCCGCGGUAAUACGUAGGUCCCGAGCGUUGUCCGGAUUUAUUGGGCGUAAAGCGAGCGCAGGCGGUUAGAAAAGUCUGAAGUGAAAGGCAGUGGCUCAACCAUUGUAGGCUUUAGAAACUGUUUAACUUGAGUGAAGAAGGGGAGAGUGGAAUUCCAUGUAUAGCGGUGAAAUGCGUAGAAUUAUAGAGAAACACCAGUGGCGAAGGCGACUCUCUAGUCUGUAACAGACGCUGUGGCUCGAAAGCGUGGGUAGCAAACAGG